GAUGAACGCUGGCGGCGUGCUUAACACAUGCAAGUCGAACGGUGAACACGGAGCUUGUUCUGUGGGAUCAGUGGCGAACGGGUGAGUAACACGUGAGCAACCUGCCCCUGACUCUGGGAUAAGCGCUGGAAACGGCGUCUAAUACUGGAUAUGUGACGUGACCGCAUGGUCUGCGUUUGGAAAGAUUUUUCGGUUGGGGAUGGGCUCGCGGCCUAUCAGCUCGUUGGUGAGGUAAUGGCUCACCAAGGCGUCGACGGGUAGCCGGCCUGAGAGGGUGACCGGCCACACUGGGACUGAGACACGGCCCAGACUCCUACGGGAGGCAGCAGUGGGGAAUAUUGCACAAUGGGCGCAAGCCUGAUGCAGCAACGCCGCGUGAGGGAUGACGGCCUUCGGGUUGUAAACCUCUUUUAGCAGGGAAGAAGCGAAAGUGACGGUACCUGCAGAAAAAGCGCCGGCUAACUACGUG
Molecule: ribosomal RNA, 469 nt
Filed under: uncultured bacterium
Lineage: Bacteria
Description: partial 16S ribosomal RNA
Rfam family: Bacterial small subunit ribosomal RNA
Source: RNAcentral